Molecule: ribosomal RNA, 498 nt
Filed under: uncultured bacterium
Lineage: Bacteria
Description: partial 16S ribosomal RNA
Rfam family: Bacterial small subunit ribosomal RNA
Source: RNAcentral
AUUGAACGCUGGCGGAAUGCUUUACACAUGCAAGUCGAACGGCAGCACGGGGCAACCUGGUGGCGAGUGGCGAACGGGUGAGUAAUACAUCGGAACGUGCCCAGUCGUGGGGGAUAACGUAGCGAAAGUUACGCUAAUACCGCAUACGAUCUAAGGAUGAAAGCGGGGGAUCGCAAGACCUCGCGCGAUUGGAGCGGCCGAUGUCAGAUUAGGUAGUUGGUGGGGUAAAGGCCCACCCAGCCGACGAUCUGUAGCUGGUCUGAGAGGACGACCAGCCACACUGGGACUGCGGCACGGCCCAGACUCCUACGGGAGGCAGCAGUGGGGAAUUUUGGACAAUGGGCGGAAGCCUGAUCCAGCCAUUCCGCGUGCAGGAUGAAGGCCUUCGGGUUGUAAACUGCUUUUGUACGGGGCGAAAAGGCUCUCGUUAAUACAGUGGGCUCAUGACGGUACCGUAAGAAUAAGCACCGGCUAACUACGUGCCAGCCGCCGCGGUAA